RNAcentral lists this ribosomal RNA (255 nucleotides) under Escherichia coli. RNAcentral's name for it is "partial 23S ribosomal RNA". It matches the Rfam family "Bacterial large subunit ribosomal RNA", at positions 230 to 523 of the family's 2925-position model. Lineage: Bacteria; Pseudomonadati; Pseudomonadota; Gammaproteobacteria; Enterobacterales; Enterobacteriaceae. The record is from RNAcentral.
CGAGAUUCCCCCAGUAGCGGCGAGCGAACGGGGAGGAGCCCAGAGCCUGAAUCAGUGUGUGUGUUAGUGGAAGCGUCUGGAAAGGCGCGCGAUACAGGGUGACAGCCCCGUACACAAAAAUGCACAUACUGUGAGCUCGAUGAGUAGGGCGGGACACGUGGUAUCCUGUCUGAAUAUGGGGGGACCAUCCUCCAAGGCUAAAUACUCCUGACUGACCGAUAGUGAACCAGUACCGUGAGGGAAAGGCGAAAAGAA